AGGCGCGUAGCUCAGUGGGAGAGCGCCACCUUGACGUGGUGGAUGUCGUCGGUUCAAUCCCGUCCGCGCCUACCA
Molecule: transfer RNA, 75 nt
Filed under: Desulforhopalus singaporensis
Lineage: Bacteria; Pseudomonadati; Thermodesulfobacteriota; Desulfobulbia; Desulfobulbales; Desulfocapsaceae
Also listed under: 5 other names
Description: tRNA_Val_GAC
Rfam family: tRNA
About the family: Transfer RNA (tRNA) molecules are approximately 80 nucleotides in length. Their secondary structure includes four short double-helical elements and three loops (D, anti-codon, and T loops).
Source: RNAcentral